Molecule: ribosomal RNA, 594 nt
Filed under: Flavobacterium sp. I14B-01187
Lineage: Bacteria; Pseudomonadati; Bacteroidota; Flavobacteriia; Flavobacteriales; Flavobacteriaceae
Description: bacterial SSU rRNA
Rfam family: Bacterial small subunit ribosomal RNA
Source: RNAcentral
CCGGCGCACGGGUGCGUAACGCGUAUGCAAUCUACCUUUCACAAAGGGAUAGCCCAGAGAAAUUUGGAUUAAUACCUUAUAGUAAUACGACUUGGCAUCAAGAUGUAUUUAAAGAUUUAUCGGUGAAAGAUGAGCAUGCGUCCCAUUAGCUAGUUGGUAUGGUAACGGCAUACCAAGGCUACGAUGGGUAGGGGUCCUGAGAGGGAGAUCCCCCACACUGGUACUGAGACACGGACCAGACUCCUACGGGAGGCAGCAGUGAGGAAUAUUGGACAAUGGGCGCAAGCCUGAUCCAGCCAUGCCGCGUGCAGGAUGACGGUCCUAUGGAUUGUAAACUGCUUUUAUACAGGAAGAAACACCUCUACGUGUAGAGACUUGACGGUACUGUAAGAAUAAGGAUCGGCUAACUCCGUGCCAGCAGCCGCGGUAAUACGGAGGAUCCAAGCGUUAUCCGGAAUCAUUGGGUUUAAAGGGUCCGUAGGCGGUCAGGUAAGUCAGUGGUGAAAGCCCAUCGCUCAACGGUGGAACGGCCAUUGAUACUGUCUGACUUGAAUUAUUAGGAAGUAACUAGAAUAUGUAGUGUAGCGGUGAAAU